GCGGGCGCUGCGGCUCCGAGGGUGACAGGGACUGGAACGACCUCUCUCGGGCCGACAGGAACGGGGACUGGAACGACCGCUACAGGGCCGACAGGAACGGGGCCUGGGGCGACCUCUACUUGGCCGACGGGAACGGAACCAGAGACAGGAACGCCCUCAACUUGGCCGACGGGAACGGAACCAGAGACAGGAACGCCCUCAACUUGGCCGACGGGAACGCCCUCAACUUGGCCGACAGGGACAGGAACUGGAACGACCUCAACUUGGCCGACAGGGACAGGAACUGGAACGACCUCAACUUGGCCGACAGGGACAGGAACUGGAACGACCUCAACUUGGCCGACAGGGACAGGAACUGGAACGACCUCAACUUGGCCGACAGGGACAGGAACUGGAACGACCUCAACUUGGCCGACAGGGACAGGAACUGGAACGACCUCAACUUGGCCGACAGGGACAGGAACUGGAACGACCUCAACUUGGCCGACAGGGACAGGAACUGGAACGACCUCAACUUGGCCGACAGGGACAGGAACUGGAACGACCUCAACUUGGCCGACAGGGACAGGAACUGGAACAACCUCAACUUGGCCGACAGGGACAGGAACGACCUCAACUUGGCCGACAGGGACAGGAACUGGAACGACCUCAACUUGGCCGACAGGGACAGGAACGGGAACGACCUCAACUUGGCCGACAGGGACAGGAACUGGAACGACCUCAACAUGGCCGACAGGGACAGGAACUGGAACGACCUCAACAUGGCCGACAGGGACGGGAACGACCUCUACUUGGCCGACAGGAACAGGAACGACCUCUACUUGGUCGACAGGAACAGGAACGACCUCUACUUGGUCGACAGGAACAGGAACAGGGACAGGAACGGCCUCAACAUGGCCGACAGGAACAAGAACGACCCCUAACGGGCCGACAGGGACUGGAACGGCCGCAACAUGGCCGACAGGGACUGGAACGGCCGCAACAUGGCCGACAGGGACUGGAACGGCCGCAACAUGGCCGACGGGAACUGGGACGGCGUCCUUACUAGCGCCGACGGGAACAAGAAC
This 1067-nucleotide long non-coding RNA is filed under the name Betta splendens (Siamese fighting fish). Its description in RNAcentral is "lncRNA (ENSBSLG00000003782.1)". Lineage: Eukaryota; Metazoa; Chordata; Actinopteri; Anabantiformes; Osphronemidae. The record is from RNAcentral.